RNAcentral lists this ribosomal RNA (714 nucleotides) under uncultured Actinomycetes bacterium. Its description in RNAcentral is "bacterial SSU rRNA". It matches the Rfam family "Bacterial small subunit ribosomal RNA", at positions 75 to 804 of the family's 1533-position model. The record is from RNAcentral. Lineage: Bacteria; Bacillati; Actinomycetota; Actinomycetes.
GCCCUUCGGGGUGGAUCAGUGGCGAACGGGUGAGUAACACGUGGGCAAUCUGCCCUGCAUUCUGGGACAAGCCUUGGAAACGAGGUCUAAUACCGGAUACGACGCAUCCCCGCAUGGGGUGUGCGUGGAAAGCUCCGGCGAUGCAGGAUGAGCCCGCGGCCUAUCAGCUUGUUGGUGGGGUAAUGGCCUACCAAGGCGACGACGGGUAGCCGGCCUGAGAGGGCGACCGGCCACACUGGGACUGAGACACGGCCCAGACUCCUACGGGAGGCAGCAGUGGGGAAUAUUGCACAAUGGGCGAAAGCCUGAUGCAGCGACGCCGCGUGAGGGAUGACGGCCUUCGGGUUGUAAACCUCUUUCAGCAGGGAAGAAGCGCAAGUGACGGUACCUGCAGAAGAAGCACCGGCUAACUACGUGCCAGCAGCCGCGGUAAUACGUAGGGUGCGAGCGUUGUCCGGAAUUAUUGGGCGUAAAGAGCUCGUAGGCGGCCUGUCACGUCGGAUGUGAAAGCCCGGGGCUUAACUCCGGGUCUGCAUUCGAUACGGGCAGGCUAGAGUGUGGUAGGGGAGAUCGGAAUUCCUGGUGUAGCGGUGAAAUGCGCAGAUAUCAGGAGGAACACCGGUGGCGAAGGCGGAUCUCUGGGCCAUUACUGACGCUGAGGAGCGAAAGCGUGGGGAGCGAACAGGAUUAGAUACCCUGGUAGUCCACGCCGUA